This 253-nucleotide ribosomal RNA is filed under the name uncultured bacterium. Its description in RNAcentral is "partial 16S ribosomal RNA". It matches the Rfam family "Bacterial small subunit ribosomal RNA", at positions 524 to 776 of the family's 1533-position model. The record is from RNAcentral.
UACGAAGGGGGCUAGCGUUGCUCGGAAUGACUGGGCGUAAAGGGCGCGUAGGCGGAUGGUACAGUCAGAUGUGAAAUUCCUGGGCUUAACCUGGGGGCUGCAUUUGAUACGUAUUGUCUAGAGUGAGGAAGAGGGUCGUGGAAUUCCCAGUGUAGAGGUGAAAUUCGUAGAUAUUGGGAAGAACACCGGUGGCGAAGGCGGCGACCUGGCUCACAACUGACGCUCAUACACGACAGCAUGGGGAGCGAACGGG